UUCCUACGGGGCGCAGCAGUGAGGAAUAUUGGUCAAUGGCCGCAGGGCUGAACCAGCCAAGCCGCGUGAGGGAUGACGGUCCUAUGGAUUGUAAACCUCUUUUGUCAGGGAGCAAAGGGCGCCACGUGUGGCGUUUUGCGAGUACCUGAAGAAAAAGCAUCGGCUAACUCCGUGCCAGCAGCCGCGGUAAUACGGAGGAUGCGAGCGUUAUCCGGAUUUAUUGGGUUUAAAGGGUGCGCAGGCGGAGGUGCAAGUCAGCGGUCAAAUUGCGGGGCUCAACCCCGUACUGCCGUUGAAACUGCAUC
RNAcentral lists this ribosomal RNA (305 nucleotides) under uncultured bacterium. Its description in RNAcentral is "bacterial SSU rRNA". It matches the Rfam family "Bacterial small subunit ribosomal RNA", at positions 336 to 639 of the family's 1533-position model. The record is from RNAcentral.